ACGAAAUACUUGAACAUCACCAUAGCAGUGAGGAUCUUAUUCAGGAUUUUUCAAGAACUACACCGUACACCGAGGAGGAGAUAAAUGAGAUUCGAGAUAUUUGGGCAGAGUAUUUUAUAUGUAAUGUUGAACUUUAGAUUUACACUUAGCGCAUGUUGGACUCUUGUUUUUGAUUAUAGGCUUGACAUGAAUGAUUUUGGUUGAUUGGUGUUGGGAUGAUGAGUAUAAUGUCUGUGAUAUUGAGAUGUAAAUUAUUGGACAGGUUGUUAAUAUAAUGUCGUCAUUCCCAAUUUUA
Molecule: long non-coding RNA, 295 nt
Organism: Chenopodium quinoa (quinoa)
Lineage: Eukaryota; Viridiplantae; Streptophyta; Magnoliopsida; Caryophyllales; Amaranthaceae
Exons: 2
Source: RefSeq, a predicted model, not a curated record